RNAcentral lists this ribosomal RNA (157 nucleotides) under Staphylococcus hyicus. RNAcentral's name for it is "partial 23S ribosomal RNA". It matches the Rfam family "Bacterial large subunit ribosomal RNA", at positions 2769 to 2925 of the family's 2925-position model. The record is from RNAcentral. Lineage: Bacteria; Bacillati; Bacillota; Bacilli; Caryophanales; Staphylococcaceae.
UGCUGAAAGCAUCUAAGCAUGAAGCCCCCCUCAAGAUGAGAUUUCCCAACUUCGGUUAUAAGAUCCCUCAAAGAUGAUGAGGUUAAUAGGUUCGAGGUGGAAGCGUAGCGAUACGUGGAGCUGACGAAUACUAAUCGAUCGAAGACUUAAUCAAUUU